UCCUGGCUUAGGAUGAACGCUAGCUACAGGCUUAACACAUGCAAGUCGAGGGGCAGCAUUGGAGUAGCAAUACUUCAGAUGGCGACCGGCGCACGGGUGAGUAACACGUAUCCAACCUGCCGCGUUACUCGGGGGAUAGCCUUUCGAAAGAAAGAUUAAUACCCGAUGGUAUAAAGAGUUCGCAUGUUCUCUUUAUUAAAGAAUUUCGGUAAGCGAUGGGGAUGCGUUCCAUUAGAUAGUUGGCGGGGUAACGGCCCACCAAGUCUACGAUGGAUAGGGGUUCUGAGAGGAAGGUCCCCCACAUUGGAACUGAGACACGGUCCAAACUCCUACGGGAGGCAGCAGUGAGGAAUAUUGGUCAAUGGACGAGAGUCUGAACCAGCCAAAGGUAGCGUGAAGGAUGACUGCCCUAUGGGUUGUAAACUUCUUUUAUAAGGGAAUAAAGUGAGGGACGUGUCCCUUUUUGUAUGUACCUUAUGAAUAAGGAUCGGCUAACUCCGUGCCAGCCGCCGC
This 513-nucleotide ribosomal RNA is filed under the name uncultured bacterium. Its description in RNAcentral is "bacterial SSU rRNA". It matches the Rfam family "Bacterial small subunit ribosomal RNA", at positions 17 to 518 of the family's 1533-position model. The record is from RNAcentral.